Molecule: long non-coding RNA, 6710 nt
Filed under: Stegodyphus dumicola
Lineage: Eukaryota; Metazoa; Arthropoda; Arachnida; Araneae; Eresidae
Description: uncharacterized LOC118180840, transcript variant X2
Source: RNAcentral
CUAUUUUUAUCAUUCUUCUUGUCUCAAAAUUAGUAUUUAAAUAAAAUAUAGUUAAGUCAGUAGUUAAAAUAAAGAAAGCAAAGAAACUAGCUCGUAUACACGAGGUUUCAAUAAGAAAUACAUUUAUGAGCGAAUACGGCCAAUAACUUUAAUUUCGAUUGGGUACUUAAGUACUAUCGCAACCAUCUUGGCGCAAUUUGGCGAUUUUUGAGGAUUACAAUGCAAAAGUUACUUAGCAAGUGCAAGUUGGCGGUUUUUGCGCCUUCUUUUUUUAGAAAGAUUCCCAAUCUGUCGAUAUUUAUAAUAAUCAAAUUUGGUAAACAAUAUCAACAUAGGAAAAGAAAACAUAUUUUAGCAAUUUAAAAUACAAAUUUCAAUUAGCAAAUAAGGAUUAUGUCAUACAUUAAAAAAUAAAACACAUUCUUCGAAUCUUUCUGUGAUUUUGUUUCCUACUUUAAUCUUCUCCCGAAGUACACAGCGAUCUAUUUCCACUUAAAAAUAUCAGACAACUGCAUAGACUCCGCUUCGCGCAAUCUUCGACAACAUCGGCUAUCUAAAGAAUGCAUUUCCUCGUUGUUUGCCUUUAAAAAAUUUUCAGGAAAAUUCAAUAUUACUGCCGAAAUUUUACCGUAGGUUCUUCCAUUGCUGACGAAUUUCAAAAGCUCAUAUUUUGAAAUUGAGUUGAAGAGAAAAAAUAUGACGAAUUGUAUAUAAAAACGUUGGAACACAACAAAAUACAACGCAUAAGAAAAUGGUGGCGUUGCUGGACUGAAACGAUUAUUAUAAGCAUGGUUGCUGGAACAAUGGUUAUGCGCAUGGUUGCCAGAUUUUGGCACUUUACUCAAAAUUUGGCUUUUUUUACUAAAGUAGUUGCGAUACUACUUAAGUACCGUCGAUUGCUUUCAAUUAGAAAAUUUAUGUAAGAACCGUAAAUGCAGAUUUUUCUCUCCGUAAAAAGUGGUUAGUAGUUAAUUGCCCUUUUUCUCACAAUCUAGUUACAUCUAAACCAUUUGGUACUAAUUGCUAAGUUAGCAGGUUUUCGUUGUGAUAUAUAUUUAUCACAAGUUUUUUUUUUUAUAUCUUUUGUAUUUUAUUUAUGUGUAUUCAUUUUAAAGUUGAAUUUUUGACUUUGAAAUCAAGUAGAGACACGACGAAGCCACGUAAUAUUUUAAGGCUGACAGAGUAAAAAUAGUUAAGAUUAAAUCAAUUUGUUUGUGUCUACUGAUAAAAUACUUCUAGUUAAAGAUUUACUAGAAAUAGUUUUCAUCAACAAGAUCAAACAACAACAAAUAUUAAUGCAUUAGGCAAACAGAUGCAAAUACAAUAUUUUCUCAAGCAAGAUACAUGAGAGUUUCUCUUUGUAUAGUAUAUCACGAAACACGGCAUGAUAAUUCAUUCUACAAUCUAAACUGCAAAGACACAUACAGUAUAUAUUUAUAUACAUAUAUAUGUAUAUAUAAUUAUGUAUAUAAUUUUAUUGUUAAGGCUUCUCUAAUUUUGUAAUGAACAAGUAAAUAUUCGAAAUUUUUUAAGUACUUGUAAUACUCCACAAGCAGAAAAGUGAACGUUCAUGAAAAAUGUCGCUUCGUUGUUGAAAGACUGCUUUACUAAUUUAUAAAUAGUACAUCGCAUUCAAACUGCAAGCAAUGCGUACCUCAGAAUCUUUAUAAACCAUCCAAAAUCUGUGAAAGAGUUCAUCAUUGUGUACAAGAAUUUAUUUAAAACGAAAAUUAAGUUCUUUAAGUGUGUGCUUAAUAUAAAUCAAAAGGAAAGUGUUAAAUUUUAUAAAAAUCGAUUGAUGGAAAAUAGAGAUUAAAAAAGCAACUCCUAAAAACGUUUCUUUAAGGGCCAUCACUUGCAUUUGCUUUGUAAAUUGGAAAAAAAAUUAAAAUUUAGAGUUAAAAAUUUAAUAGGUUAUCUAAUUAAUUAAUGGAAUCCUUUUCAUUUGUAUACUCUUAUUUUUCCAAUACUUAAAAAUAGCGCGUUAGUGGCGCCAUCUAUGGAAUAGAUAAUUAACUAAAAGCAGAGGAUCACAUAUUACAUAGUUACCAAAUAUUUUAUAGUAAACGUAUUAUUUCAUACUAAUACAAUGCAUUCCUGCUUGUACUGAAAGGAAAUAAUAAGGUGUCCUCAAAACCCCUAAACAACUUUACCCUAUUAUUGCCAGCAUUCUGUAAGAGGUGGUGCUGUGAAUGUUUGUAGUGCCAUUAGAUACAUAUCAAAGUUUUUUUUCAACAAUUUGCUUUGAUUUAAUAUACACAUAAUGUGAGGAUUUAAGGAUCCGAAAAUCCUCAUAUACAAGGAAGCUGAAGCAGGACAGAUCGAAAGUGAAUGUUUGAUGUGAGAUGUUGCAUACGACUUUAGGACCAUUUGCCUUCAAUGGUCAGAGUUUGCCUCGGUAAACUGACUAAGUAUAUUUGUCCACAGUUGGAGGACUGUAAAAAAGAGGUCAUUUUAUCGCAUGUCAGGGUUGUGUAACUUGUGACACUUGUCAGAAAGGUUUGAACCAGGUUGACACUUGUCACAAAGGUUUGAACCAGGUUGACACUUGUCACAAAGGUUUGAAGCAGGAUAGAUCGAAAGUGAAUGUUUGAAGUGAGAUGUUGCAUAAGACUUUAGGACCAUUUGACUUCAAUGGUCACAGUUUGCCUCGGUAAACUGACUAAGUAUAUUUGUCCACAGUUGGAAGACUGUCAAAAAGAGGUAAUUUUUAUCGCAUGUCAGGGUUGUGUAACUUGUGACACUUAUCACAAAGGUUUGAACCAGGUUGACACUUGUCACAAAGGUUUGAAGCAGGAUAGAUCGAAAGUGAAUGUUUGAAGUGAGAUGUUGCAUAAGACUUUAGGACCAUUUGACUUCAAUGGUCACAGUUUGCCUCGGUAAACUGACUAAGUAUAUUUGUCCACAGUUGGAAGACUGUCAAAAAGAGGUAAUUUUUAUCGCAUGUCAGGGUUGUGUAACUUGUGACACUUAUCACAAAGGUUUGAACCAGGUUGACACUUGUCACAAAGGUUUGAAGCAGGAUAGAUCGAAAGUGAAUGUUUGAAGUGAGAUGUUGCAUAAGACUUUAGGACCAUUUGCCUUCAAUGGUCAGAGUUUGCCUCCGUAAACUGACUAAGUAUAUUUGUCCUUAGUUGGAGGACUGUCAAAAAGAGGUCAUUUUAUCGGAUGUCAGGGUUGUGUAACUUGUGACACUUGUCACACAGGUUUGAACCAGGUUGACACUUGUCACAAAGGUUUGAACCAGGUUGACACUUGUCACAAAGGUUUGAAGCAGGAUAGAUCGAAAGUGAAUGUUUGAAGUGAGAUGUUGCAUAAGACUUUAGGACCAUUUGCCUUCAAUGGUCACAGUUUGCCUCGGUAAACUGACUAAGUAUAUUUGUCCACAGUUGGAAGACUGUCAAAAAGAGGUAAUUUUUAUCGCAUGUCAGGGUUGUGUAACUUGUGACACUUAUCACAAAGGUUUGAACCAGGUUGACACUUGUCACAAAGGUUUGAAGCAGGAUAGAUCGAAAGUGAAUGUUUGAAGUGAGAUGUUGCAUAAGACUUUAGGACCAUUUGCCUUCAAUGGUCAGAGUUUGCCUCCGUAAACUGACUAAGUAUAUUUGUCCUUAGUUGGAGGACUGUCAAAAAGAGGUCAUUUUAUCGGAUGUCAGGGUUGUGUAACUUGUGACACUUGUCACACAGGUUUGAACCAGGUUGACACUUGUCACAAAGGUUUGAAGCAGGAUAGAUCGAAAGUGAAUGUUUGAAGUGAGAUGUUGCAUAAGACUUUAGGACCAUUUGCCUUCAAUGGUCAGAGUUUGCCUCGGUAAACUGACUAAGUAUAUUUGUCCACAGUUGGAGGACCGUCAAAAAGAGGUCAUUUUGUCGCAUGUCGGGGUUGUGUCACUUGUGACACUUGUCACAAAGGUUUGAACCUUCCUUGCGAAAGAACGACCACUACUAAAUAUAUAAAUUUUUCCAUUCUUAAGUAAUCUGUUAAAGUUAUUUAGGGACCUUUGUGGACACCCAGUAACCUUUCUGUUAAUAUUUUGUAUACCAAAAGGAUAACAAAGUAUUUUAUGAACUGAAUUCUAUUGCAGCAGUGGUCACAAAUUAUAUGAACAUCCUUAACCAGAAAACAAAAUGCUUUGAAAAAUAUUUUGAUGAUAAUAACAGUAAUAAUAAUAAUAAUAAUAAUAAUAAUAAUAAUAAUAAUCGAUUACAGGAAAAAGAUGGUACUUUGUAAUAUUUCUUGCGUAAUAUAGUAAGAAAAAUGCAAUUUAAAAUGAAAUAUACUAAAAUUUAUUUUUAGUGAUUUUGUAAAUUAUAAUUCUGGUAUAAAAACAGCUUAGUCUUCUAAAAACACAAAAAAACAAAAAUAUUUGCAUUAAAAACACCAACAUAUUUGCAUUUAAAAGCACUUUGUUGAAAAUGAGCAAUUAAAUUAGUAUAAACGCUUCUCUUCGAAGUUUAUAAUUUAGCUCUAAAAAUCGAAGAAUUACAAUUAAAAGUUUCUAUCUCUUCAUUCUGCUUCAGUUUGCAAAACUUUCAGUAUCAUCGUAUUAUUAUGCUAGAAGCAUUUAAUACAUCAAUACAUAUUUUUACAGUUUUAGUUUUGUAAUUAAUUCGUUUUAAUAGCUUUUGAAAUGUUUCGGGUGUUUUUUUUAAUCCUUCGAAGAACAUUAAGUUAGCAACAUCUGUUUCUUAUGUAACAUAUCACAAAUACUGUACUUAAAUUUCAUUCGCUUUCACAUAAACGUUUUUCUUACAUGUAUCAAAUUACUUUUAAUUAAAGCUUUUUUACAGUAUUAAUGUAUAAGAAUUUACUUUUGUUACAUCAAAGUGCUCAUUUCACAAACUUUUCACGCCUAUUAAUUUCUGAAAAACAUCAAACGUUAAAAUUAUUAUUUCAUUUACAAUGGUGAACCGUUUCAUAAGCAUUUUUAUUCUCCAAGUUCGUACAAUGUAAAAACAAGAAGAUAUGACUUUAUUUAUUCCACGAAGAUAUGACUUUAUUUAUCUCUGCUUUUGUUGGCAAAAGUGCUUUACACAAAGUACUGUUUAGAAUAUUAAGAUAAAAUACAGCUUAAAUAAUUAGUUUUUAAGCAACACAAUAUAACAAAUUAUGCCUUCAUUUAUAGUAGAAUCAUCAGUAUGUAAGAUAACAUCUAAAAACAGUUAUCAUAAUUUGAGACAAACAGUUCGAAUCAAUUUCGUAAGAGUUAAGACAUUUUGCGGUCAAUCAAUUUAGUUUCUCGGCGAAAAUAGGCUUCCAAUAUUUUGGUUCGAUGUCACAGAUCAUCCUCCAAGCUCUUCAAACACGAAAGGCGUAGAGAUCGUAGUUUAUAAUAAAGCUGCUAAUUCAACAGAUAUAUUGCCUAUCCAAGACAUACCGGUGUUGGCUUACCUGGAACAGUUUGCUGAGUUCAAGAUAUUUAGCUUUUUUCUGCAUUAUAUCAACACCGAUGUUAUAUUUUGAUGGUGGUAGAACAUUUACUUCUUCAACAACAAUAAACUUCUGUGUUAUUUUUAACCUCAAUUAUGCCCUAAUCUUAGGACGACAGAUCUACGACGAUGAGAUAAUAGGUGGACUGGCCAAAGAGUGCAAGCCUUAAAGAUGGUGGCCGUCUUUCUAUCUCGGAACUUGCUUCGCGGGUCAAGUUAGAAAUCAACUCCUCUUCGAGGAAUGUGGUUCACACACAUGAGUGGUACGUUGGUAACCACCCUGGCGCAGCUCUAACAGAGGCAAGCAAUAGAUUGGAGCAAACGGCUCUAGCUAAGCUGCGCACUGGUCAUCUGCGCGUUCUAUGUUUUAUGUCGAGCAAUAAAGUCCACCCCUUUUAUCCGAAAUGCUACUUGACCCAAGCCAUUCCUGCCUAUAUCUUGUCUUGCAUUGGUUGCCUGAAAAGCCAACUGCUCUCCUUCCUGGUUACGUUCUUCGGGCUUUUGAUGGACCUGAUCUGAUGUUGCGGUCGAAUAGGUGGGAUGAGCCACAAGCAACAAACAGGACGACGCUGUCCUAUCUGCAAAUGAAUGAUUCAAGAAGUUACAUCUAUGAACUAAUUGCCAUGAACUAUGGAAUUAGAGGUAAACCUUGCCUGGACUUCUGUUGCAAACAAGAUAGUAUGCGUAAUCCAUUUUUAUGAAUAACAUUUUAUUCAAAUUUCAUUGAAAUCAAUCAAUCAGACUGAGUCACUCUUGAUCUUCCAGAUUUAUGCAGUCAUUGAUUUCAAAUUACAUCAAAAUAUUGGAAGUCUUUCAGCCAAUGAUUGAACCAAAUUAACCCAAAAGUUUUAAGUUUUUGUGAGGUGAUCUGAGCUAUUGCAGGGUUUUAAAAAUAGCAUAAAUUAUACAGUUUUACUAAAAAUAAUUACAGCUUGAUUACAAUAGCAUAAAAGUUCACAUAUUUAACUUACUGUAAGAAUUAUUUCUUCAGUUCUGUUAUAACAAUCUUAAAAUUUAGAUUCUGGAAAACGUUUUUGCACCUUUCACAUAAAUCACAUGAUACACUUUCUAAAGUUUUAUUUCUUAUCACAGCUGACCAAACUUUCACUGUUUCCUAUCCUGGACGAUUCUCAUUAUAAUAACCUUCACGCUUUCUUUGUCUUUUACUGUUUAUUGAACAGCAGUCGGCAUAUACAGAAAUAGCCAUUAGCUUGAUCAAAUAUUACACUAGAAAUAGCACACUGAAUUCAGACUAGAUUCGUUAGUAAUGACGUAUCUAG